AUUGAACGCUGGCGGCAUGCUUUACACAUGCAAGUCGAACGGCAGCACAGGGAGCUUGCUCCCGGGUGGCGAGUGGCGCACGGGUGAGUAAUACAUCGGAACGUGUCCUGUUGUGGGGGAUAACUGCUCGAAAGGGUGGCUAAUACCGCAUGAGACCUGAGGGUGAGAGCGGGGGAUCGCAAGACCUCGCGCAAUUGGAGCGGCCGAUGCCCGAUUAGCUAGUUGGUGAGGUAAAGGCUCACCAAGGCGACGAUCGGUAGCUGGUCUGAGAGGACGACCAGCCACACUGGGACUGAGACACGGCCCAGACUCCUACGGGAGGCAGCAGUGGGGAAUAUUGCACAAUGGGCGAAAGCCUGAUGCAGCAACGCCGCGUGAGUGAAGAAGUAUCUCGGUAUGUAAAGCUCUAUCAGCAGGGAAGAAAAUGACGGUACCUGACUAAGAAGCCCGGCUAACUACGUGCCAGCA
Molecule: ribosomal RNA, 468 nt
Filed under: uncultured bacterium
Lineage: Bacteria
Description: bacterial SSU rRNA
Rfam family: Bacterial small subunit ribosomal RNA
Source: RNAcentral